This 618-nucleotide ribosomal RNA is filed under the name uncultured Synechococcus sp. RNAcentral describes it as "bacterial SSU rRNA". It matches the Rfam family "Bacterial small subunit ribosomal RNA", at positions 122 to 770 of the family's 1533-position model. Lineage: Bacteria; Bacillati; Cyanobacteriota; Cyanophyceae; Synechococcales; Synechococcaceae. The record is from RNAcentral.
GAAUCUGCCCUUAGGAAAAGAAUAACUUCUGGAAACGGUUGCUAAAUCUUUAUAUGUCGGGAGAUGAAAUAGCUUAGGCUGCCUAAGGAUGAGCUCACGCCUGAUUAGCUUGUUGGUGAGGUAAUGGCUCACCAAGGCCACGAUCAGUAGCUGGUUUGAGAGAACGACCAGCCACACUGGGACUGAGACACGGCCCAGACUCCUCCGGGAGGCAGCAGUGAGGAAUUUUCCGCAAUGGGCGAAAGCCUGACGGAGCAAUACCGCGUGAGGGAUGAAGGAUUUUGGUCUGUAAACCUCUUUUCUCAAGAAAGAAGUUCUGACGGUACUUGAGGAAUAAGCAUCGGCUAACUCCGUGCCAGCAGCCGCGGUAAUACGGGGGAUGCAAGCGUUAUCCGGAAUGAUUGGGCGUAAAGCGCCUGUAGGUUGUUUAUUAAGUCCGUUGUUUAAGCCUAGGGCUUAACCCUAGAAAAGCAAUGGAAACUAGUAGACUAGAGUAUGGCAGGGGUAGAGGGAAUUUCUAGUGUAGCGGUGAAAUGCGUAGAUAUUAGAAAGAACACCGGUGGCGAAAGCGCUCUACUGGACCAUUACUGACACUCAGAGGCGAAAGCUAGGGUAGCA